This 263-nucleotide ribosomal RNA is filed under the name uncultured archaeon. Its description in RNAcentral is "partial 16S ribosomal RNA". It matches the Rfam family "Archaeal small subunit ribosomal RNA", at positions 748 to 1010 of the family's 1478-position model. The record is from RNAcentral.
CAGCCGUAAACUAUGCUCGCUAGGUGUCAGGGACGGUGCGACCGUUUCUGGUGCCGCAGGGAAGCCGUGAAGUGAGCCACCUGGGAAGUACGGCCGCAAGGCUGAAACUUAAAGGAAUUGGCGGGGGAGCACAACAACGGGUGGAGCUUGCGGUUUAAUUGGAUUCAACGCCGGAAAUCUUACCGGGACCGACAGCAACAUGAAGGCCAAGCUGAAGACUUUGCCGGAUUAGCUGAGAGGUGGUGCAUGGCGUCAGUGACUGU